RNAcentral lists this ribosomal RNA (964 nucleotides) under unidentified eubacterium RB16. RNAcentral's name for it is "bacterial SSU rRNA". It matches the Rfam family "Bacterial small subunit ribosomal RNA", at positions 399 to 1379 of the family's 1533-position model. The record is from RNAcentral. Lineage: Bacteria; Bacillati; Bacillota.
GCGUGGAGGAUUGAAGUCCUUCGGGACGUAAACUCCUUUCGAUCGGGACGAUUAUGACGGNUACCGGAAGAAGAAGCCCCGGCUAACUUCGUGCCAGCAACCCGCGGUAAUACGAGGGGGSCGAGCGUUGUUCGGAAUUAUUGGGCGUAAAGGGUGCGUAGGCGGUUUGGUAAGUCUGAUGUGAAAUCUAUGGGCUCAACUCAUAGUCUGCAUCGGAAACUGCCGGGCUUGAGUAUGGGAGAGGUGAGUGGAAUUCCUGGUGUAGCGGUGAAAUGCGUAGAUAUCAGGAGGAACACCUGUGGCGAAAGCGGCUCACUGGACCAUAACUGACGCUGAUGCACGAAAGCUAGGGGAGCAAACAGGAUUAGAUACCCUGGUAGUCCUAGCCCUAAACGAUGACUGCUUGGUGUGACGGGUACCCAAUCCCGCCGUGCCGUAGCUAACGCGUUAAACCAUUCCGCCUGGGGAGUACGUUCGCAAGGCUGAAANUCAAAGGAAUKGACGGGGGCCSGCACAAGCGGUGGAGCAUGUGGUUUAAUUCGACGCAACGCGAAGAACCUWACCUGGGCUCGAAAUGUACAGGAAUCCAGUGGAAACAUUGGCGUCCCGCAAGGGACCUGUAUAUAGGUGCUGCAUGGCUGUCGUCAGCUCGUGUCGUGAGAUGUUGGGUUAAGUCCCGCAACGAGCGCAACCCUUAUCUUCAGUUGCUACCAUUUAGUUGAGCACUCUGACGAAACCGCCUCGGAUAACGGGGAGGAAGGUGGGGAUGACGUCAAGUCCUCAUGGCCUUUAUGUCCAGGGCUACACACGUGCUACAAUGGCCGGUACAAACCGUCGCAAACCCGUGAGGGGGAGCUAAUCGGAAAAAGCCGGCCUCAGUUCGGAUUGGAGUCUGCAACUCGACUCCAUGAAGCUGGAAUCGCUAGUAAUCGCGGAUCAGAACGCCGCGGUGAUAGUUCCCGGC